This is a long non-coding RNA of Homo sapiens (human), 955 nucleotides long. Lineage: Eukaryota; Metazoa; Chordata; Mammalia; Primates; Hominidae. The record is from Ensembl.
UUCAUAUGACAACAUGAGAAUAAAGAAAUAAAAUAUAGGAUAAAAGAAAAGGGAUUGGAGCCUAUUUUAUGUAAAAUGGUACAAUAAUAACUUUAAGUAGUCCACAAAGUUAAGGAUAUAUCUUGUAAUCACUGCAGCAAAUAUUAACAGUAAUUAAUACUGUAAUGCAAAGAGUAUAAAAGUAAUGCAAGGAGGUAUAGCUAAAGUGCCAAUAAAGUAAUUAAAAGAAAAAAUCUAAAACAUGUUAAAAUCCAAAGAAGUCAGGAAAGAGAGAACAGAAGAACAAAAAACAAUCAGGCAAACAGGAAAUAGAUAAUAAAAUCGUAAAUCUAAAUCUAAACAUAUGAAUAAAUGUGUUCAAUAUUAGUGAGUUAAACACUUCACUUCAGAGGCAGAGGUUGUCAACAUGGAUUUUACAAAGCACUACCCAACUAUAUGCUGUCUAUAAGAGUUGCACUUUAAAAAUAAAAACAAUGUAGGUUGAAGGUAAAUGGCUAGAAAGUGGAUAUACCACACAAAUUGAAAAUAUAAGAGACUGGAGUAGCUAUAUUAAUAUCAGAAAAAAUAGAUAUAAAAGAACAUUUCUAAAUGAUAAAAGUUUGUUCAUCAGGAAUACAUAAUAAACAUAAAUGUGUACAUGCUGAAUAACAGAGCUUCCAGAUACAUGAGGUAAAAAUGGACAGAAUCAACUGGAUACAUGUCACUAUUAUGGCACCAUGUAAUUAUGGGUUUAGGCCCCAUGAUUCCAAUUUAGGUUAGAAAGCAUUUCUUAAUGAUUUCUAUAUGUUGGCUUUAGGUGAUGCAAAAAUAAUAUGACAAGAUCCAUGUCUUCAAUGAGCUACAAUCCUACUGGGACAUGAGACUGUGCUUAUAAUAUGAUGAAAGAAUAAGAAAAUUUUAAAGAUGAAAACACAGCAGCAACAGGUGCCAUUUUGGAAGCAAGAAGCAGAGAACA